CUAAUCAGAAUGUCUACAUUUUAAGAUUAGAUCUCAAAUCAGGUAGGACUACCCGCUGAACUUAAGCAUAUCAAUAAGCGGAGGAAAAGAAACUAACAAGGAUUCCCCUAGUAGCGGCGAGCGAAGCGGGAAGAGCUCAAAUUUAUAAUCUGGCACCUUCGGUGUCCGAGUUGUAAUCUCUAGAAAUGUUUUCCGCGUUGGACCGCACACAAGUCUGUUGGAAUACAGCGGCAUAGUGGUGAGACCCCCGUAUAUGGUGCGGACGCCCAGCGCUUUGUGAUACAUUUUCGAAGAGUCGAGUUGUUUGGGAAUGCAGCUCAAAUUGGGUGGUAAAUUCCAUCUAAAGCUAAAUAUUGGCGAGAGACCGAUAGCGAACAAGUACCGUGAGGGAAAGAUGAAAAGCACUUUGGAAAGAGAGUUAACAGUACGUGAAAUUGUUGGAAGGGAAACGCUUGAAGUCAGACUUGCUUGCCGAGCAAUCGGUUUGCAGGCCAGCAUCAGUUUUCCGGGAUGGAUAAUGGUAGAGAGAAGGUAGCAGUUUCGGCUGUGUUAUAGCUCUCUGCUGGAUACAUCUUGGGGGACUGAGGAACGCAGUGUGCCUUGGCGGGGGUUUC
This 614-nucleotide ribosomal RNA is filed under the name Rhodotorula mucilaginosa. RNAcentral describes it as "eukaryotic LSU rRNA". It matches the Rfam family "Eukaryotic large subunit ribosomal RNA", at positions 1 to 603 of the family's 3401-position model. The record is from RNAcentral. Lineage: Eukaryota; Fungi; Basidiomycota; Microbotryomycetes; Sporidiobolales; Sporidiobolaceae.